UUCUCCUGGGGCGUGGCUGGGGAGGGACAGACCCAACCUCACGCUCCGUGGCCUCUGCCCCCAG
Molecule: microRNA precursor, 64 nt
Organism: Chlorocebus sabaeus (green monkey)
Lineage: Eukaryota; Metazoa; Chordata; Mammalia; Primates; Cercopithecidae
Source: Ensembl